This 256-nucleotide ribosomal RNA is filed under the name uncultured bacterium. RNAcentral describes it as "partial 16S ribosomal RNA". It matches the Rfam family "Bacterial small subunit ribosomal RNA", at positions 524 to 776 of the family's 1533-position model. The record is from RNAcentral.
UACGGAGGGUGCAAACGUUGUUCGGAAUCAUUGGGCGUAAAGGGUGCGUAGAUGGCAUGAUAAGUUAUUAGUGGGAAAUCGAGGCUCAACCUCGUGGAAGCUAGUAAUACUGUUUUGCUUGAGUACAGAAGAGGUUAAUGGAAUUCCAUGUGGAGCGGUAAAAUGUGUAGAUAUAUGGAAGAACAUCAAUAACGGCGAAGGCAGUUAACUAUUCUGUUACUGACAUUGAGGCACGAAAGCGUGGGGAGCAAAACGG